GAUGAACGCUAGCUACAGGCUUAACACAUGCAAGUCGAGGGGUAACGAGAGGAAAGCUUGCUUUCCUUGUCGACGACCGGCGCACGGGUGAGUAACGCGUAUCCAACCUGCCCCCAACUAGGGAAUAACCUUGCGAAAGUAAGACUAAUACCCUAUAAUUUCCUCAGAUGUCAUCUGACGAGGAAUAAAGAUUUAUCGGUUGUGGAUGGGGAUGCGUCUGAUUAGCUUGUUGGCGGGGUAACGGCCCACCAAGACAACGAUCAGUAGGGGUUCUGAGAGGAAGGUCCCCCACAUUGGAACUGAGACACGGUCCAAACUCCUACGGGAGGCAGCAGUGAGGAAUAUUGGUCAAUGGGCGAAAGCCUGAACCAGCCAAGUAGCGUGCAGGAUGACGGCCCUAUGGGUUGUAAACUGCUUUUAUACAGGAAUAAAGUUAGCCACGUGUGGUUAUUUGUAGGUACUGUAUGAAUAAGGACCGGCUAAUUCCGUGCCAGCCGCCGCGGUAA
This 506-nucleotide ribosomal RNA is filed under the name uncultured bacterium. RNAcentral describes it as "partial 16S ribosomal RNA". It matches the Rfam family "Bacterial small subunit ribosomal RNA", at positions 28 to 523 of the family's 1533-position model. The record is from RNAcentral.